This 147-nucleotide small RNA is filed under the name Chrysemys picta bellii (western painted turtle). RNAcentral describes it as "TUC338 (ENSCPBG00000000667.1)". The record is from RNAcentral. Lineage: Eukaryota; Metazoa; Chordata; Testudines; Emydidae.
UUCACAGCCCAGGGGAACUGAGCCAGGUACAGAGCCUGUAACAACAGCAGUACAAACUUCCCCACAUUGCUCCAUCCAUGUGCAUCAGCAUGAAGGGGACCCUCUCCCGAUAGUCCAUUUUCCAUGUCCAUUCAGACCCUUGCCUCU